RNAcentral lists this ribosomal RNA (493 nucleotides) under uncultured Lachnospiraceae bacterium. RNAcentral's name for it is "partial 16S ribosomal RNA". Lineage: Bacteria; Bacillati; Bacillota; Clostridia; Lachnospirales; Lachnospiraceae. The record is from RNAcentral.
CACGUAGUUAGCCGGGGCUUCUUACUCAGGUACCGUCAACUUCUUCCCUGCUGAUAGAGCUUUACAUACCGAAAUACUUCUUCACUCACGCGGCGUCGCUGCAUCAGGGUUUCCCCCAUUGUGCAAUAUUCCCCACUGCUGCCUCCCGUAGGGGUUUGGCCGUGUCUCAGUCCCAAUGUGGCCGGUCACCCUCUCAGGUCGGCUACUGAUCGUCGUCUUGGUGGGCCGCUACCCCGCAACUAACUAAUCAGACGCGGGUCCAUCUCAUACCACCGGAGUUUUUCACACCGGACCAUGCGGUCCUGUGCGCUUAUGCGGUAUUAGCAGUCAUUUCUAACUGUUAUCCCCCUGUAUGAGGCAGGUUACCCACGCGUUACUCACCCGUCCGCCGCUCAGUCAAUCUAAUCCAUCCGUAAACUUCCUUAACAUUGCUUCGCUCGACUUGCAUGUGUUAGCACGCCGCCAGCGUUCAUCCUGAGCAGGAUCAAACUCU